Molecule: ribosomal RNA, 429 nt
Filed under: Pseudomonadota bacterium
Lineage: Bacteria; Pseudomonadati; Pseudomonadota
Description: Proteobacteria bacterium partial 16S ribosomal RNA
Rfam family: Bacterial small subunit ribosomal RNA
Source: RNAcentral
UGGGGAAUAUUGGACAAUGGGCGAAAGCCUGAUCCAGCCAUGCCGCGUGUGUGAAGAAGGUCUUCGGAUUGUAAAGCACUUUAAGUUGGGAGGAAGGGCAGUAAGCGAAUACCUUGCUGUUUUGACGUUACCGACAGAAUAAGCACCGGCUAACUCUGUGCCAGCAGCCGCGGUAAUACAGAGGGUGCAAGCGUUAAUCGGAAUUACUGGGCGUAAAGCGCGCGUAGGUGGUUCGUUAAGUUGAAUGUGAAAGCCCCGGGCUCAACCUGGGAACUGCAUCCACAACUGGGGAGCUAGAGUAGGGCAGAGGGUGGUGGGAUUUCCUGUGUAGCGGUGAAAUGCGUAGAUAUAGGAAGGAACACCAGUGGCGAAGGCGACCACCUGGGCUCAUACUGACACUGAGGUGCGAAAGCGUGGGGAGCAAACAGG